GUCCACGCCCUAAACGAUGUAAACUCGACAUUAGCGAUAUACAGUUAGUGUCCAAGCGAAAGCGUUAAGUUUACCACCUGGGAAGUACGACCGCAAGGUUGAAACUCAAAGGAAUUGGCGGGGUCCGCACAAGCGGUGGAGCAUGUGGUUUAAUUCGAUGAUACGCGAGGAACCUUACCUAGGCUAGAAUGUAGUUUGACCGAUCCUGAAAGGGGUCUUUGUAGCAAUACACAGAUUACAAGGUGCUGCAUGGUUGUCGU
Molecule: ribosomal RNA, 260 nt
Filed under: uncultured bacterium
Lineage: Bacteria
Description: partial 16S ribosomal RNA
Rfam family: Bacterial small subunit ribosomal RNA
Source: RNAcentral